UCUAAUAUUAAAGCAAAUCAGCAAUAUGCUUCUGCAUAACACGUGAUUUAAUCCUCUAAGUAUUGAAUAUUUAUAUAUAGUCAAUGGCGCGGUAUAUUUAUGAUCUUUGUUAUUGUGAAGUUGAGGGUCAGUGUUUAUUUGUUGCUUUGAAUUGUAUUCAAAGCUUCAAAUUUUCGAUAAUGACUUCACGAAAACGUUGCUACAAUGGAUUAAAACAUGCAAAACAACAUAUGAUAUUAUUUUUCAUUUUAUUCGGCGUACUUUGUGGAUAUUUGGUGCUUUAUUACAUUGCAAUGUUCAGUCGUCCAUAGAUCCAACGCCGAAGGAAUAUGCAAUGUACGUGUCGUUUCUUGGUGAGAUUUGGGUGAGAGCUUUAAGACUUUUGGUUCUUCCUUUGAUUGUAUCCAGCCUGCUUUUGUCAGUCGCUGAAUUGGAGUCAAAGCAGAGCGGAAAAUUAGGAAGAAGAACAUUGCUGUAUUGUCUUAUGACUACAAUGUUUGGGAAGUAAUUUGUUUAUUUGCUUUUAACCUGGAAAUGUUAACGUGAAAGAACCAGAACCGAACGAAGAAAAAGUUGAAUCAAUACAUUCUGUGCUUGAUCUUACAAGGCUUUGGUCCACUGCUCACUGCGAAAAUUAACUGUGAAGUGUUAAGUAAAGAAAGGGUUGCUGAAUGCUAUGUAGCUGAUCUUAAAAGUACGAAAAAUGUCUUAUGAGAUAUUUUUGCCUAUAGAAAAUUUUACUAUGUUAAAUUUUAGCGACGAAGUUCACUUUCCUUGUCUGUGAAUAUCAACCAUAUUUAUAGCACACUAACUUGAAAGAACGUAUUCUUUGGAGACAAUGAUUAUCUCGUUAUUAUAUUCCCUGGGAAACACGUUUUAUUGAGCUGGUGGCUCAUGGCUUGUGUAUUCUAAUUUCUAAAGCAAAGUUCAAUAUUUAUAAUUUCUUCACAAACACGACACGAAACGGGCAUUACACGCGACAAUGGAAAACUGCAUAGUCAAUUUAGCCAAGUAGGACUUUUGCUUACCCAGGGCAGGCUACACUGAAAAAUUUUUUUGUGACAGUGUUUUCUGUAAUUUUCCUUUAAAACAAUUAUAUUGUUUCUUCCCUUAAUACGCUCUGUCCACAGAUCUUAUGAUGCAUUGUCCUACAUUCACAUGAUGGGUAUGUUCAGGGACUUCCCCUUGCAGAUGAAGCAUAUGAGAUGAAGCUACUGUUGCAUAACUUAAAUACCAGGCAUAUUAGGUAUUUUGCGAGUGAAAAAAAAUGAAAAAGGAAAUUUGCUAAAUAUACCAUGCUGCGUCUUGCCACAACUUUGUUGUUCAUCAUUGUGGAAUGGUCGUCUUGGUUGCUGCAUUGCUUUGGGGUGUCAGGUAGCUGUGGAAGAAUGAAGGAUAUAAGUUGUUGAAGUUUGUCAACUGUAUUUACAUUCGAUUUUAUACAAAGUAAGGAAAAGAGCGAAAAACGGUGAAAAAAUCCAGAGCUAACUUUAAUCAAAUACGGACAAGAGGAACAUCGCGAGAGCUUGGAGAAAGUACAUCAAGACGAAAAUAAUUCCCGUUCACAAAACGUUCCAGAGAGCGUUGCAGAGGAUCAAGGGAUGGAAUCUGGAGCAGAAAGUCAGACUGAAUAUUUAAUAUUUUUACUCGUACUUUUAUAUUUGGAACUUCUUAUUGAAUUGUAUGAUUUAAAUCUUUCUUCAAUUCCUGAUGAACUAUAAAUAUCUAUAAUUUGUACAAGUGCGCCGUGAACAUAAUGAUAAUUGAAAUAUUUACUAAUUAGAACAAAUGUACUCUUCCUUGUCACUAUUCAUCACCAACUUAUGAAUAUUGACAAAACAGAAAUUUAUACUGUUGUAUGCAUAACAUAGUAAUUAAAUCACGUCAUUAUAAAGUGAGAUAGUUUCACGAACAUUUUAUUACGAAAAUUUUCUGUUAAAUUAAUAUACUUCAGACCAACUGCUUUGAAAGCUGGCUGUUAUAGCUAUACUAUGCUUCCUUCAAAUAAAAUUUUUACGUAUUGUAAGAGAAAA
Xenia sp. Carnegie-2017 is the source of this 2033-nucleotide long non-coding RNA. RefSeq lists it as uncharacterized. The record is from RefSeq and is a predicted model, not a curated record. The transcript has 2 exons. Lineage: Eukaryota; Metazoa; Cnidaria; Anthozoa; Malacalcyonacea; Xeniidae.